RNAcentral lists this long non-coding RNA (2409 nucleotides) under Phoenix dactylifera (date palm). RNAcentral's name for it is "long non-coding RNA (PDAC_LNC008906)". The record is from RNAcentral. Lineage: Eukaryota; Viridiplantae; Streptophyta; Magnoliopsida; Arecales; Arecaceae.
AUGAAUCGAAUUGGCGUGUUGGAUCACAUAUUGCCACCCCUGGCAUAAGAUCAAGCACGCCUCUUCUUUUUCCUCCAUCAUCCAAAUUUAAUAAUUCUAAAGGUGCCAAAGCAAUACCCCAACGUAGCCACCCUCAACGUGUCUUUGCAGGGCGCGAUGUUGUCCGGCACGGAAUAGAAUCCAGCUCGUUCCGAGUUGGUCGCUCUACUGAGUAACGUUGUCGUGACCCUUUCCUAAUACUCCCUAAUUUAUUCCGACAAUUCGAACAGCAUCGGCCUCAGCUCCUCGGAAGCAAACACCCCUCUUUUUCUCUGCAACCCAGACCCAAAAUUUUCCCAACUUGAGCUGAUAUUUUUACUAAAUUCGGAAGCAAAUCUUUCCCUGCAAAUCUAAUCGGAGGAUCCGUGUGCAGACAUGGCGGCUCCGACCAGAAAGAUCUCAGCUGCAUCCGCUAGGGCUCACACCCGAAAACGGAAGCAUUCCACAUCGUUCCCCCUUCCGCCAGGUGGGACUCUGCUCUCGUGUCCCCUCCUCUCUUUGUGUGUUCGUGAAUGGUUUACAGGGAAUCAGUAAUAGAGAGGCUUUUUUUACUUCUAACUUUAUGCUGGAAUUAAUUCUUAUCUAAAUUUUGACUAUUCUUCUUCUUUAAUGGAUGCAUCUCUUAUGUUUUUAUCAUUCUUCUUUUUGAGUGAUUUUUAUGCUAUUAAUAGAAGGGAAAGAAAAUUUGGUUCGAUGUAAAGUCGAAUGAAGCACCCUGCCAACAUUACUGUAGAGAGAUGACUUUGAGCUUAAUGUUAGAUGUGUGAUCCACUCAAAUAACUCUGCCAAACUAGCUUAAUGUUUAGUUUUCCAACAGCACACUUCAGUUCUGAGGGUGGUUCUUUGGUUCUGAAUGCAUCAGCUGCCGGUGACUCGUUGUCCUUCAAGCUAUAGACAUCAAAAUUUAAGUCUAUUACAGUGGCCACAUCUUAAUUUGCUUGACUCAAGUUUUUACGAAAGCAAGCUCAAGCUCUUGUACUCAACUAAUGCUGUUACAUAUUUAUUAUGCAAGAGCAAAGCUGCACCACUUGACUUGGGGUAUUUACCCAUGGACAUAUUCUCACACUCAACUGCCUUGUGUAGACAUGCUACUUUUAACUGGCCACAAGCUAAAAGACACCUAUACUAGUGUACACAUCGACUUGAGGUGUUUGCGUUUGGAUAGAUGUCAAUCCAUUGCUGUCUUAUAAAACUAGCCUCCAACUAAUCUUGUAGUUAAUUAUAAUCAUGCCUUUAAUUAAUUUUUAAUUCUCUAGGUCAUAUAUGUAUCCAUUUCCUUCAUAUCCAUCUUGACCACAUAGCCAACAUUUUUUACUCAGACCAUUACAUUUCAUUUUUUGGAAUCCCACCAGGAUAUGAUAUAUGAAUGAGUUCUGUUGAAAAUAUUCUAAUUGAUUUAGUAAUGUUUUCGAAAGGAAUUUACUGACAUGGAUUAGAGUUUUAUUCUAUAAUUAUCUUAUUUUAAGUGUUCAAGCUAAGGUUUUCAAAAUAAGAUCUUAACAUAGUUAAUUUUGAUGGGAUGCACAUGGUACCUCGACCAUGUUCAAAGAAGUGAUAAUGGAAAUUAGUAUUUCUCAAUGACAAAGAUGUAUCCAUUGGUAUCCAAUGUCAUUCGGCUCAUCCAAGAGAUUUUAAUGGAGUUAGUUACUCAAAAAUAAGUUUUCUUUUUCAAAGAAAUGAAGUGUGUUUCCCUAAAUUUUCAUGCACAUAUGCUCUUCAUCAUGUGGGUGGGUCUUCUUAUCUGCUUUUCCUCCUUUGAUAUUAAGGUGUAAUGUUACCUUAGGCCCUCUUGUUUCUCACCAUGUUGCUAAUGCCUCUUCAUUCCCCUAUUUUUCAUGGCCACAUAAAUGAAGAGAGAUAAUCUGCAUGAAUUGUUCAUCUUAUAAACUUCUAAUCUCGUCUCUCGCAUAUCUUCAUCAAAUAUUCUAUUUUGUUUUUCCUUUUCAUUAUCACUUUAGUGAUAUGUCAAAGCUAGGGGUGGAAACUUAUGACCCGACCCAUAACUAACCCACUUUAAGGUGGUUCAGGUUUUGCAUAAACCGGUCGGGAUGUAAAAGGUCAACUUGACCUAACUCGUUUAUUAAACAGGUCAAGUUUAGGUUUAGAAUCCUGACUUUUUAAACUAGUUUUAACUCGUUUAAUAGUUGGGUUGGUUGGGUUGCAUUGUCACCCAAUCUAUUUAACCUAUUUAUUCUACUCAAAAAAUAUUUAACCCAUUUAACCUUAUUAAACCGAUUAUCCACGUCGGGUCAAGUUACUUGUUAAAUAAAAAUGUUGGGUUAGAUUUGGAUUUUUGUCUCGUUUAAUAAGCAGGUCAAGUUCAAGUUUUGUGAUAUUUAACAUAACCUGCCCCAGUCCAACCUGUAUCUG